RNAcentral lists this non-coding RNA (111 nucleotides) under Modestobacter caceresii. RNAcentral's name for it is "TPP riboswitch aptamer (THI element)". It matches the Rfam family "TPP riboswitch aptamer (THI element)". From Rfam's summary of the family: Vitamin B(1) in its active form thiamin pyrophosphate (TPP) is an essential coenzyme that is synthesised by coupling of pyrimidine and thiazole moieties in bacteria. The previously detected thiamin-regulatory element, thi box was extended, resulting in a new, highly conserved RNA secondary structure, the THI element, which is widely distributed in eubacteria and also occurs in some archaea. RNAcentral also lists the same sequence under 1 other name. Lineage: Bacteria; Bacillati; Actinomycetota; Actinomycetes; Geodermatophilales; Geodermatophilaceae. The record is from Rfam by way of RNAcentral.
CGAGCCAUGUGCGGGAGCUCGGAGGACCGGGCUGAGAGGGCGGCUGACGCGCCGCCGACCGCUGGAACCUGACCGGGUAAUGCCGGCGUAGGGAGCCCGUGAUGAGCACGU